GAAAAUGGAGGAGUUUAUUAGGCUGCGGGCCUCCAAAGAGGCCUUGUUUACUGGGGCCAAGCAUUCUGCCAGUGUAGCCUGGAAGUCAAUACUGGAGCAGAUGAAGAUUGACCAUUUAGUUACCACACUGCAGGCC
Austrofundulus limnaeus is the source of this 136-nucleotide long non-coding RNA. RefSeq lists it as uncharacterized. Lineage: Eukaryota; Metazoa; Chordata; Actinopteri; Cyprinodontiformes; Rivulidae. The record is from RefSeq and is a predicted model, not a curated record. The transcript has 2 exons.